RNAcentral lists this ribosomal RNA (253 nucleotides) under uncultured bacterium. RNAcentral's name for it is "partial 16S ribosomal RNA". It matches the Rfam family "Bacterial small subunit ribosomal RNA", at positions 524 to 776 of the family's 1533-position model. The record is from RNAcentral.
UACAGAGGUCCCAAGCGUUGUUCGGAUUCACUGGGCGUAAAGGGUGCGCAGGUGGUCGGGUAAGUCUGACGUGAAAUCCCGCAGCUUAACUGCGGAAUGGCAUUGGAUACUAUUCGGCUAGAGGGUUGGAGGGGGGACUGGAAUUCUCGGUGUAGCAGUGAAAUGCGUAGAUAUCGAGAGGAACACCAGUGGCGAAGGCGACUUCCUGGCCUGUUCUUGACGCUGAGGCGCGAAAGCUAGGGGAGCAAACGGG